This 774-nucleotide ribosomal RNA is filed under the name uncultured Neocallimastigales. RNAcentral's name for it is "partial large subunit ribosomal RNA". It matches the Rfam family "Eukaryotic large subunit ribosomal RNA", at positions 23 to 648 of the family's 3401-position model. Lineage: Eukaryota; Fungi; Neocallimastigomycota; Neocallimastigomycetes; Neocallimastigales. The record is from RNAcentral.
GAGACUCUGUGCGCGUGCAUAUCAAUAAGCGGAGGAAAAGAAACUAACAAGGAUUCCCUUAGUAACGGCGAGUGAAGCGGGAAGAGCUCAAAUUUGAAAUCUUCAAGGUUCUACCUUGACGAAUUGUAGUUUAUAGAAGUGUUUUCUGUUAGUAGAGUGGCAAAAGUUCUUUGGAAUAGGACAUCAUAGAGGGUGAGAAUCCCGUAUUUGGUCAUUCCUCCUAGCGUUGUGAUACACUUUCAACGAGUCGGAUUGUUUGGGAAUGCAGUCCAAAAUGGGUGGUAAAUUUCAUCUAAAGCUAAAUAUUGGCGAGAGACCGAUAGCGAACAAGUACCGUGAGGGAAAGAUGAAAAGAACUUUGAAAAGAGAGUUAAACAGUACGUGAAAUUGUCAAAAGGGAAGCGUUUGACACCAGUGUUGUUUUUCCGAAAAUCAAUUACGAAUGUUUUGUUUUUAAGAAGUUAUGACUUCAUCGGCUUGCUUCUUUCUUUACGAAACUUUCUUAAUGCACUUUUCGGUUAACAAGUCAACAUCAAUUUCUUUUGUUGUAAAAGGGUACGAGGAAGGUGGCUUUCUUUUCGGAGAAAGUGUUUAUAGCCUUGUACCUCUGCAAUCGGAGAGAUUGAGGUCUGCAGCGUAGAUCCUUCGGGGUUAGAUACAUUUGUGCUAAGUUAUAGCUUUUCAUAGACAACUUGUUGACUAUGUUAAGUCUUGUAGCUUACUCGCUUAUGCUAUUUUACCUACGCUUAGGAUGUUGACGAUCAGCUGAGCGCG